This 507-nucleotide ribosomal RNA is filed under the name uncultured bacterium. Its description in RNAcentral is "partial 16S ribosomal RNA". It matches the Rfam family "Bacterial small subunit ribosomal RNA", at positions 28 to 507 of the family's 1533-position model. The record is from RNAcentral.
GACGAACGCUGGCGGCGUGCCUAAUACAUGCAAGUCGAACGCAUUUUCUUUCACCGUAGCUUGCUACACCGAAAGAAAAUGAGUGGCGAACGGGUGAGUAACACGUGGGUAACCUGCCCAUCAGCGGGGGAUAACACUUGGAAACAGGUGCUAAUACCGCAUAAUUCCAUUUACCGCAUGGUAGAUGGGUGCAAGGCGCUUUUGCGUCACUGAUGGAUGGACCCGCGGUGGAUUAGGUAGUUGGGGGGGUAACGGCCUACCUAGGCUGCGAUGCAUAGCCCACCGGAGAGGGGGAGCGGCCAGACUGGGACGGAGACACGGCCCAGACUCCUACGGGAGGCAGCAGUAGGGAAUCGUCGGCAAGGGACGCAAGUCUGACCGAGCAACGCCGCGGGAGGGAAGAAGGUUUUCGGAUCGUAAAACUCUGUUGUUAGAGAAGAACAAGGAUGAGAGUGGAAAGUUCAUCCCUUGACGGUAUCUAACCAGAAAGCCACGGCUAACUACGUG